RNAcentral lists this ribosomal RNA (374 nucleotides) under uncultured organism. RNAcentral describes it as "partial 16S ribosomal RNA". It matches the Rfam family "Bacterial small subunit ribosomal RNA", at positions 527 to 896 of the family's 1533-position model. The record is from RNAcentral.
GGAAGGUGCAAGCGUUAAUCGGAAUUACUGGGGCGUAAAGCGCGCGUAGGCGGCUAGAUAAGUCGGGUGUGAAAGCCCUGGGGCUCAACCUGGGGAACUGCAUUCGAUACUGUCUAGCUAGAGUGUGGUAGAGGGAGGCGGAAUUCCGCAUGUAGCGGUGAAAUGCGUAGAGAUGCGGAGGAACACCAAUGGCGAAGGCAGCCUUCUGGACCAACACUAACGCUGAGGCGCGAAAGCGUGGGGAGCAAACAGGAUUAGAUACCCUGGUAGUCCACGCCGUAAACGAUGUCAACUAGCCGUUGGGAGCAUUUUGGCUCUUGGUGGCGCAGCUAACGCGAUAAGUUGACCGCCUGGGGAGUACGGUCGCAAGAUUA